UGCUGAUUUGCUGACGAGUGGCGGACGGGUGAGUAAUGCCUGGGAAACUGCCUGAUGGAGGGGGAUAACUACUGGAAACGGUAGCUAAUACCGCAUAACGUCGCAAGACCAAAGAGGGGGACCUUCGGGCCUCUUGCCAUCGGAUGUGCCCAGAUGGGAUUAGCUAGUAGGUGGGGUAAAGGCUCACCUAGGCGACGAUCCCUAGCUGGUCUGAGAGGAUGACCAGCCACACUGGAACUGAGACACGGUCCAGACUCCUACGGGAGGCAGCAGUGGGGAAUAUUGCACAAUGGGCGCAAGCCUGAUGCAGCCAUGCCGCGUGUAUGAAGAAGGCCUUCGGGUUGUAAAGUACUUUCAGCGGGGAGGAAGGGAGUAAAGUUAAUACCUUUGCUCAUUGACGUUACCCGCAGAAGAAGCACCGGCUAACUCCGUGCCAGCAGCCGCGGUAAUACAGAGGGUGCAAGCGUUAAUCGGAAUUACUGGGCGUAAAGCGCACGCAGGCGGUUUGUUAAGUCAGAUGUGAAAUCCCCGGGCUCAACCUGGGAACUGCAUCUGAUACUGGCAAGCUUGAGUCUCGUAGAGGGGGUAGAAUUCCAGGUGUAGCGGUGAAAUGCGUAGAGAUCUGGAGGAAUACCGGUGGCGAAGGCGGCCCCC
RNAcentral lists this ribosomal RNA (654 nucleotides) under uncultured bacterium. Its description in RNAcentral is "bacterial SSU rRNA". It matches the Rfam family "Bacterial small subunit ribosomal RNA", at positions 78 to 729 of the family's 1533-position model. The record is from RNAcentral.